CUACGGGUCGCUCCAGUGGGGAAUAUUGCACAAUGGGCGAAAGCCUGAUGCAGCAACGCCGCGUGGAGGAUGACACAUUUCGGUGCGUAAACUCCUUUUAUAUAAGAAGAUAAUGACGGUAUUAUAUGAAUAAGCACCGGCUAACUCCGUGCCAGCAGCCGCGGUAAUACGGGGGGUGCAAGCGUUACUCGGAAUCACUGGGCGUAAAGAGCAUGUAGGCUGGAUGACAAGUUGGAAGUGAAAUCCUAUGGCUUAACCAUAGAACUGCUUCCAAAACUGUCUUCCUAGAGUAUGGGAGAGGUAGAUGGAAUUUCUGGUGUAGGGGUAAAAUCCGUAGAGAUCAGAAGGAAUACCGAUUGCGAAGGCGAUCUACUGGAACAUUACUGACGCUCAGAUGCGAAAGCGUGGGGAGCAAACAGGAUUAGAUACCCGGGUAGUC
RNAcentral lists this ribosomal RNA (439 nucleotides) under uncultured bacterium. Its description in RNAcentral is "partial 16S ribosomal RNA". It matches the Rfam family "Bacterial small subunit ribosomal RNA", at positions 339 to 795 of the family's 1533-position model. The record is from RNAcentral.